RNAcentral lists this ribosomal RNA (492 nucleotides) under uncultured bacterium. RNAcentral describes it as "bacterial SSU rRNA". It matches the Rfam family "Bacterial small subunit ribosomal RNA", at positions 30 to 518 of the family's 1533-position model. The record is from RNAcentral.
AUUGAACGCUGGCGGCAUGCCUUACACAUGCAAGUCGAACGGUAACAGGUCUUCGGAUGCUGACGAGUGGCGAACGGGUGAGUAAUACAUCGGAACGUGCCCGAUCGUGGGGGAUAACGGAGCGAAAGCUUUGCUAAUACCGCAUACGAUCUACGGAUGAAAGCAGGGGACCGCAAGGCCUUGCGCGGACGGAGCGGCCGAUGGCAGAUUAGGUAGUUGGUGGGAUAAAAGCUUACCAAGCCGACGAUCUGUAGCUGGUCUGAGAGGACGACCAGCCACACUGGGACUGAGACACGGCCCAGACUCCUACGGGAGGCAGCAGUGGGGAAUUUUGGACAAUGGGCGCAAGCCUGAUCCAGCCAUGCCGCGUGCAGGAUGAAGGCCUUCGGGUUGUAAACUGCUUUUGUACGGAACGAAAGACUCUUUCUAAUAAAGAGGUCCAUGACGGUACCGUAAGAAUAAGCACCGGCUAACUACGUGCCAGCAGCCGAC